UAACUCGCAUCAUGAGGUGCGACUGAACCGGCAGGAGUCAGCAGAGGUCAUAGUACCUGCAAAGGAGACGUCCGUGUAGGGAAGGAC
Non-coding RNA from Tumebacillus flagellatus, 87 nucleotides. Lineage: Bacteria; Bacillati; Bacillota; Bacilli; Caryophanales; Alicyclobacillaceae. The record is from Rfam.